Long non-coding RNA from Cyprinus carpio (common carp), 1455 nucleotides. The record is from Ensembl. Lineage: Eukaryota; Metazoa; Chordata; Actinopteri; Cypriniformes; Cyprinidae.
AGACGGGAAAUCUGUCCUGUCAGUGGCCGGCUGCGAGUUUUGUCUAUACUGGAGUCGGACACUCCCUCUGAGACACAGCUGCUAUAAGGUUCCUCUCACGCUCUGAACGGAGGAGAUACAGAGAGAGAAAGCCGUCCGAUCACCCAGGUAAGAGGCCAGUGUCACACUUCUGAACUUUGAAUAACAUCUGCAUGUGGUUUCUCCACUCUCCGCUGUUGCUGUCUAAGUUUCCAAGGCGUUUUGCACUAAAAAAAAAAAAAAAAAACACCCCUUGUUCAGCACUUUGGAGGUUUGUGGUGUAGUUGGUGAUGGUCGGACGGACUUUUUGAGUGAUCCACUUGAGCGUCCAGAGGAAAGGUCAUCCGUAAAUAGUUUCUUUGAAUGGGCCGUCUGAGCGACUGUGCGACAUCUGUCAGCCAGACAUGAGCUCGGGGCGGCGUGAAGCGGAGGUCAUAAAAACGCUCUCAAAACAAGGAGUGCGAGGAUGAGGCUGUGGAGAAAAGCUCAAACAUUCUUCUCAUUGUUCUCAAGUCUCGAAAGACCGUGCCAGACGCUGCACAGCCAAAACAACAUCCAGAGGAAGGCGAAGGACAAAAAAAAAGUGUGGCAAAACCAGAAAGGCCAAGCCGGGAGUAUUAGACGAGGUGUGCAAGCUGGAGCGCUAGAUCACAAGAGAGCGAAAGCGGCCGGAGGAAGCCCAGUCUCUCAGACGCUAGAAGAAGGAGGGGCCAGCUGCAGUGACCACGGACUACAUGACAAAAAAUGAGAGCCCUUCUGUAUGAUAUGAAAGGACAGAUGUAGAAAUGUAGGACCCCACCUCAGCCAGAAUGACUCAAGCCCAGACCCUCCUCUUCUGCCAGCCAGGGGAAUUCCUGGCAGAGUGAUUUUUAAACCUAAUGACUGAAUCACAUUGCCAGGGAUUUCCAAUGGCUCGUGUGAGGGACUCGACGCGGAGACUGCAGACACGGCAGAUAUAUGCAUUGCAAACACACACACCUAAACACACGAGACCCUAAUCCUGAAGGAAUGCAGACCGUCUCAUACAUGAGUUAGUGGUGACAGAAGUCCCAACUGACGUGCAUUUCUUUGCUGGUUGUGUGGUGUCAGGACUUAACCCACUUGUGAACACUGCAUUGAACUUCUUUGUUCACAGUGGUUAAGUUCUGCCAUCCUGAGACCCAUAUCAGCAAAAGGGAAGUUAAAGCCAAUUGUGCCCUCAAACUAAAUGCAUGCACACUGAGUACUGUGACAUGAUAUUCUCGUUAAUGUACCUGAAAAACUGCAUUAAAGAUGCACUAGAGACUUAUUCUAGGUUUGACUCUUCUUGCUGUCGUCAGUCUCAAGAUGUUGUGACAGGCCUGUUUUAUCUCGUCAGAAGUAAUCUUCAUCUCAGGUGUUUAGCACGAUAUGUAACAAAUGAGCCGUAGCCUGGGAAUAAAAAAACUUGGAUAAACA